UACGGAGGGGGCGAGCGUUAUUCGGAAUUAUUGGGCGUAAAGGGCGCGUAGGCGGCCCGGUAAGUCAAAGGUGAAAUCCCUCGGCUCAACUGAGGAACUGCCUUUGAAACUGUCGGGCUUGAGGCCGGGAGGGGGGUAGCGGAAUUCCCAGUGUAGCGGUGAAAUGGCGUAGAUAUUGGGAGGAACACCAGUGGCGAAGGCGGCUACCUGGACCGGUUCUGACGCUGAUGCGCGAAAGCGUGGGUAGCAAACAGG
Molecule: ribosomal RNA, 255 nt
Filed under: uncultured bacterium
Lineage: Bacteria
Description: partial 16S ribosomal RNA
Rfam family: Bacterial small subunit ribosomal RNA
Source: RNAcentral